AACGUAGGAGUCAAGCGUUAUCCGAAUUCACUGGGCGUAAAGCGCGUGCAGGCGGCCGGAUAAGUUGGCUGUGAAAUCUCCUGGCUCAACUGGGAGAGGCCGGUCAAUACUGUCGGGCUGGAGGGCGACAGAGGGAGGUGGAAUUCCGGGUGUAGUGGUGAAAUGCGUAGAUAUCCGGAGGAACACCAGAGGCGAAGGCGACCUCCUGGGUCGUACCUGACGCUCAGACGCGAAAGCUAGGGGAGCAAACGGG
This 253-nucleotide ribosomal RNA is filed under the name uncultured bacterium. Its description in RNAcentral is "partial 16S ribosomal RNA". It matches the Rfam family "Bacterial small subunit ribosomal RNA", at positions 524 to 776 of the family's 1533-position model. The record is from RNAcentral.